Molecule: long non-coding RNA, 1465 nt
Filed under: Gopherus evgoodei (Goodes thornscrub tortoise)
Lineage: Eukaryota; Metazoa; Chordata; Testudines; Testudinidae
Description: lncRNA (ENSGEVG00005006222.1)
Source: RNAcentral
CGGGGCCUGACGCGCAGCCUCGGCCGGGGCAGGGGGGGCAGCGCCGUCUCCGCGGCCCGGCCCUCGCUCACCUUGUUGAUGCGUUUGAGCGCCAUUGUGUGUGUGCGCGCCGCCGGCCGCCGGGCCUGUCUCUGCGCCGCGGUGACUCCGGGCUCCGCUCGCGCUGAGGGGGGAGGGGGAUAGUUGCGUCUCUCCUUCCUCCGGAAACAGCCAGGGGCGCCCGCCCGCACGGAGCGCAGCCGCCCACAGCCUCCUCCCGACGGGCGGGUCCGGCCCCUUCUUCGGAGAGCGCUGGCUGCUGCCGCCUCGGGGAGGACAGACGAUGAGCUGCGCCGCCGCCAGCGAAGAAACCGAGCUCAGCCCCCUGCACACCCGCCGCCGGUGGCGAGGCCGAGGAAGAAAGGAGGGGACAGCAGGCACCGCCCCCCGCUGCCGGGGGCGGGUCACUGAGGAACCUCGCCUGCACCCCCCUCUGACUGGAGCAGGGAGGGACGCGCUAACCGCCGCCGCUGCCGCCUGGGAAUCUGCGCACGCGCUACCAAGACUGCUGGAACUGGGGUGGUCGAGGGGAGACUCUGGCUCGUGAAUGGGUGGUGAUACCUGGAUCCUCAAGCACUUAGAGCCAUUCUCUCUGGAAUUAACUUGAUUAUCACACCAAGAUCUAUGGACUACUUUAAGUCUCCCAGAGCACUUUCAAUGACCCAUGGAGCUGCUGCUUCUAUCCUGGUGGAGUAUCUGGUCAGUCUUAACCAGUGAUGCUUCCUGUCUAAAAGUUUAUAGAGCCUUUUUUUAAAUAGGUAACUCAGAACAAGGCUGCUUUUUAACUUUGUAUUAGAUGCUUCUACUUGUGUAAAUUCAAUCAUACUUAGAUUUUUGAGGCAAGAACCUUACCCCAUUUUGGUGAAGUAGCAAACAUGUAAGAGGACAAAAUCAAACUGCAAACUGACCUGGAGAGAUUAGAGAAACGGAGUUUUCAGGAAAUUAUGGGAGGUUCACUGUUAACAACUGUGAUAUCCAGGGAAAAUAAAUAACCAGCAUACAUAUAUAACUGAGGAGCGUAAGCAAACAACCAUAUCCAGUUCAGUGAUUUGAGUUUGUUUUCAUUAUGUUGUCUUUAGUAUUGCUUCUGAUAUUACUUUUCUGUGUACCCAAGGAGUCUAGUUGCUGCAGAAGAGAUGUGGGACCAGAAGGGGAAGUCUCCACAAGAAAAUCUCAAUCUUUUAAAAUAGUUUCCCAAUUAUAAAAAAGUUUGAGAAGAACUGGGUGUCAUAAACAGAUAGUUAAGGGUUAAUGUCUCUUUUAUCUGGGGUUAACAAGCUCAGUGAAUCUGGCUGACACCUGACCAAAGGACAAAUCGGGGGACAUGAUACUUUCAAAUCUUGGUGGAGGGAAGCCUUUGUUUUGUGCUUUUUGGGGUGUUCUUUGUUCUCUCUUGGGGCUAAGAGAGGCCAGACAUGCCACCGGU